CCUACUCCUAUCCUAUCUAAAUAUGUUUGGGCUUCCCGUAAGGCCCAUAUUCUCAAUGCCAUCGUUUCCUCCCCUUUCUUCUUCUUCUUCUUCUUCUUCUUCUUCUUCUUCUUCACCAAUCCUCAGUACAGUUCUCUGAUUCUCUCAUAGCUUCUUCCUUCGUUUCCUGCAAUGUCCUCACAGUCGUUUCAGCUAUUUCAUCCAUUAACUACACUGCGAAUCUCGAUAUCAGUCGGCAAUCCAUGAAAUUGUCUGACUCCAAAGCUUAAGGAAGGAGGAACAAGUACCUCGAGAUGAUGUAUUAUCAAUUGCAGUGAAGUUUAAGAGGCAUCCUUACAGUUUUAUGUGGGUGGUCACUGUAACUCAGCUGGACGAGAAGCGAGUUAAUGUGGGAGGCUGCGGUAUCCAGCAAGGUAGCUAUGAACAUCAAGAAAGGAGUAUAUGCUUCUCUUGAAAGCGCCUUUGAGCCUCUACACCUCUUAGAAUUUGUGAAGGCGACAAAGGCGUGGAAUGGAGAGAAAGAUAAAAUCUCACUUAUAGAAUUCGAUGGAGGUUAUGAUGCUGUUGGUUCUAAGAUGGAGUUGUGAAGAAUCCAAUGGUCUUAACCUUAUUUUGCUACUUAUGAGAUAUAAACCGUUGAAUGUUACACCAUUGCAUAGUUUUCCAAAACAAAGUAAGAGCAUUUCAGGAACAUGUCUGCAUUUGGGAUUUAGUUAGACACAUAAGUGGGAGUCCUGUACUGCAGUAAUUUUACAGCUAAUCUCUAACCUUUGUCA
Molecule: long non-coding RNA, 776 nt
Organism: Capsella rubella
Lineage: Eukaryota; Viridiplantae; Streptophyta; Magnoliopsida; Brassicales; Brassicaceae
Exons: 4
Source: RefSeq, a predicted model, not a curated record